GCUUAGCCCUAAACCUAAAUAAUUCAAUAACAAAAAUAUUUGCCAGAGAACUACUAGCCACCGCUUAAAACUCAAAGGACUUGGCGGUACUUUAUAUCCACCUAGAGGAGCCUGUUCUAUAAUCGAUAAACCCCGCUAUACCUCACCAUCUCUUGCUAAUUCAGCCUAUAUACCGCCAUCUUCAGCAAACCCUAAAAAGGAACUAAAGUAAGCACAAGAACAAACAUAAAAACGUUAGGUCAAGGUGUAGCCAAUGAGAUGGGAAGAAAUGGGCUACAUUUUCUUUCAAAAGAACAUUACGAAACCCUUUAUGAAACUAAAGGAUAAAGGCGGAUUUAGUAGUAAAUUAAGAAUAGAGAGCUUAAUUG
This 368-nucleotide ribosomal RNA is filed under the name Arvicanthis sp. RNAcentral describes it as "partial 12S ribosomal RNA". Lineage: Eukaryota; Metazoa; Chordata; Mammalia; Rodentia; Muridae. The record is from RNAcentral.